GGCAAGUUUUGAAGUUAUUCAUUCUGGGUUUUAAGCAUUUUUAAUCAACACAUUAUCCCACCUAUUUUCCGUGUAAAUUCUACCAUACCCUCCUCUCCUACACAUAAUUAAGUAGCAAUAAAAGAAAAUGGAUCCCCAUCUCUGCCCUUGAAAAUCAUUGCAUAUAUAAUGGCCUAAAGCCCUCCCAAUCUCAAUCUACAGGAGAAACCAUCCUUUUCCAAAUUGCAGGAUAUAGUUAACAAGAAUGAGUGGAAGAGAAAACAGUCCAAAGCUUGAGUUGAAGCUGAAUCUAUUAUCACCACCUACAGCUAGGCCUAAUAACCAAGUAAAUGGGUCGCCAAACACAUCGGAGAUGUCACUCGAAAGUUCAUGCGUGUCUUCGGAGACUGACGACUCAUCGAUGAUGAUGAUGCAACGCCGUAGCAGUGAGGAAGAAACUCCGAUGGUGUUGGUAGGAUGUCCUCGGUGCCUCAUGUACGUUAUGUUAGCGCAAGUGAAUCUCAAGUGCCCCAAAUGUAAAACCACCGUCUUCCUUGAUUUUCUUAACCAUUAUAACACCAAAAUGCCAUCCAACUGAAUCUAUCCAACAACAUCUAUCAUUCUCCUUGCUUGCUUGUUGGAAGUUUUGUGUUAUUUUGUUCCAUUUCAUAUACUCAUCAAGAUGUCUGGUUGCUCAAUGUUUGAAAAAAAAUAAAGAGUGUUGUAAUUGUUUAA
Gossypium raimondii (Peruvian cotton) is the source of this 714-nucleotide long non-coding RNA. RefSeq lists it as uncharacterized. The transcript is spliced from 2 exons. The record is from RefSeq and is a predicted model, not a curated record. Lineage: Eukaryota; Viridiplantae; Streptophyta; Magnoliopsida; Malvales; Malvaceae.